Molecule: ribosomal RNA, 253 nt
Filed under: uncultured bacterium
Lineage: Bacteria
Description: partial 16S ribosomal RNA
Rfam family: Bacterial small subunit ribosomal RNA
Source: RNAcentral
GACAGAGGGUGCAAACGUUGUUCGGAAUUACUGGGCGUAAAGCGUGUGUAGGCGGUCUCGCAAGUCGGAUGUGAAAGCCCCGGGCUCAACCCGGGAAGUGCACCCGAUACUGCAAGACUCGAGUACCGGAGAGGUUGGUGGAAUUCCGCGUGUAGCAGUGAAAUGCGUAGAGAUGCGGAGGAACACCGAUGGCGAAGGCAGCCCUCUGGGCCAACACUGACGCUCAGGCACGAAAGCGUGGGGAGCAAACAGG